UACAGAGGGUGCAAACGUUGCUCGGAAUCACUGGGCGUAAAGGGUGCGUAGGCGGGUCUUUAAGUCAGGGGUGAAAUCCUGGAGCUCAACUCCAGAACUGCCUUUGAUACUGAGGAUCUUGAGUUCGGGAGAGGUGAGUGGAACUGCGAGUGUAGAGGUGAAAUUCGUAGAUAUUCGCAAGAACACCAGUGGCGAAGGCGGCUCACUGGCCCGAUACUGACGCUGAGGCACGAAAGCGUGGGGAGCAAACAGGG
RNAcentral lists this ribosomal RNA (254 nucleotides) under uncultured bacterium. RNAcentral's name for it is "partial 16S ribosomal RNA". It matches the Rfam family "Bacterial small subunit ribosomal RNA", at positions 524 to 777 of the family's 1533-position model. The record is from RNAcentral.